This 75-nucleotide transfer RNA is filed under the name Deinococcota bacterium. RNAcentral describes it as "tRNA-Gln". It matches the Rfam family "tRNA". From Rfam's summary of the family: Transfer RNA (tRNA) molecules are approximately 80 nucleotides in length. Their secondary structure includes four short double-helical elements and three loops (D, anti-codon, and T loops). Lineage: Bacteria; Thermotogati; Deinococcota. RNAcentral also lists the same sequence under 1 other name. The record is from RNAcentral.
UGGGUCAUCGUCUAAUGGGUAGGACACCGGAUUCUGGCUCCGGCAAUUCAGGUUCGAGUCCUGGUGACCCAGCCA